CCCUUAGAUGUCCGGGGCUGCACGCGCGCUACACUGAAGGAAUCAGCGUGCUAAAACCAUUGUCGAAAGGCAUUGGUAAACCCAUUAAAAUCCUACGUGAUUGGGAUCGGGAAUUGCAAUUAUUUCCCUUGAACGAGGAAUUCCCAGUAAGUGUGGGUCAUAAGCUCGCGUUGAUUACGUCCCUGCCCUUUGUACACACCGCCCAUCGCUGCCCGGGACUGAGCCGUUUCGAGAAAAGCGGGGACUGCUGCUGUCGGGGCUUUCGGGCCUUGGCUUCGGUGGAAACCGCUUUAAUCGCAGUGGCUUGAACCGGGCAAAANUCGUAACA
Molecule: ribosomal RNA, 328 nt
Filed under: uncultured eukaryote
Lineage: Eukaryota
Description: partial 18S ribosomal RNA
Rfam family: Eukaryotic small subunit ribosomal RNA
Source: RNAcentral